RNAcentral lists this long non-coding RNA (396 nucleotides) under Salmo salar (Atlantic salmon). Its description in RNAcentral is "lncRNA (ENSSSAG00000095658.1, ENSSSAG00000113232.1)". Lineage: Eukaryota; Metazoa; Chordata; Actinopteri; Salmoniformes; Salmonidae. The record is from RNAcentral.
CACUGCUUCACUGGGUUUAAUCCUAUAAACAUUUGUCAUAAAAAAAAAAAAACUCAGUCUACAAUAUUAAACAUUUAUCUCUGCCAAAAUGUGACCAUCAAGCAGAGAAUAGUGUCCCCUCUAAAGGAACUGAACCAGAACCAUUCAUAUUACACUAGGAGGCUGUAGGAGCAGGUCCAGUUACCAGAACCAUUCAUAUUGCACUAGGAGGCUGUAGGAGCAGGUCCAGUUACCAGAACCACUCAUAUUGCACUAGGAGGCUGUAGGAGCAGGUCCAGUUACCAGAACCAUUCAUAUUGCACUAGGAGGCUGUAGGAGCAGGUCCAGUUACCAGAACCACUCAUAUUGCACUAGGAGGCUGUAGGAGCAGGUCCAGUUACCAGAACCAUUCAUAUU